UGGGGAAUUUUGGACAAUGGGCGCAAGCCUGAUCCAGCAAUGCCGCGUGCAGGAAGAAGGCCUUCGGGUUGUAAACUGCUUUUGUCAGGGAAGAAAUCUUCUGGGCUAAUACCCCGGGAGGAUGACGGUACCUGAAGAAUAAGCACCGGCUAACUACGUGCCAGCAGCCGCGGUAAUACGUAGGGUGCGAGCGUUAAUCGGAAUUACUGGGCGUAAAGCGUGCGCAGGCGGUUAUGUAAGACAGAUGUGAAAUCCCCGGGCUCAACCUGGGAACUGCAUUUGUGACUGCAUGACUGGAGUGCGGCAGAGGGGGAUGGAAUUCCGCGUNUAGCAGUGAAAUGCGUAGAUAUGCGGAGGAACACCGAUGGCGAAGGCAAUCCCCUGGGCCUGCACUGACGCUCAUGCACGAAAGCGUGGGGAGCAAACAGGAUUAGAUACCCUGGUAGUCCACGCCCUAAACGAUGUCAACUGGUUGCUGGACGGCUUGCUGUUCAGUAACGAGGCUAACGCGUGAAGUUGACCGCCUGGGGAGUACGGCCGCAAGGUUGAAACUCAAAUGAAUUGACGGGGUCAUAGCUG
RNAcentral lists this ribosomal RNA (579 nucleotides) under uncultured bacterium. RNAcentral's name for it is "partial 16S ribosomal RNA". It matches the Rfam family "Bacterial small subunit ribosomal RNA", at positions 355 to 932 of the family's 1533-position model. The record is from RNAcentral.